UGUGAUGCAGUUAGUUAGUUGAAAAAGUAUAGUAGGGCAUGCAAAAUGUUCAUUCGAGCUGUUUGGAUAGAAAAUACAGAGAAAUAAAGAGAGAAAAUUCGAUUGAUAAUUUUUUGUGCUGCUCGUCAUCUUUAAAUGUACUAAAUUGUUUCAAUGAAAUGCAUAAACCGCAUCUAACUAAUACAGAUUUACGCUGCUCAAAAUUUAAUGUCAUGGAGAUAAUGAGCCACUACCAUGCUUAUGCAAGAGAAAACAUAAUAACCAACAGAAU
Hydra vulgaris (swiftwater hydra) is the source of this 271-nucleotide non-coding RNA. The record is from RefSeq and is a predicted model, not a curated record. NCBI's taxonomy places the organism in Eukaryota, Metazoa, Cnidaria, Hydrozoa, Anthoathecata, Hydridae.